GACGAACGCUGGCGGCGUGCUUAACACAUGCAAGUCGAACGGAAAGGCCCCUUUGGGGGUACUCGAGUGGAGAACGGGUGAGUAACACGUGAGUAACCUGCCCUUGACUUCGGGAUAACUUCAGGAAACUGGGGCUAAUACCGGAUAGGAAUCCUUGCUGCAUGGUGGGGGUUGGAAAGCUUCGGCGGUUUUGGAUGGACUCGCGGCUUAUCAGCUUGUUGGUGGGGUAGUGGCUUACCAAGGCUUUGACGGGUAGCCGGCCUGAGAGGGCGACCGGCCACAUUGGGACUGAGAUACGGCCCAGACUCCUACGGGAGGCAGCAGUGGGGAAUAUUGCACAAUGGGCGGAAGCCUGAUGCAGCAACGCCGCGUGCGGGAUGACGGCCUUCGGGUUGUAAACCGCUUUCAGCAGGGGCGAAGCUUGUGGUGACGGUACCUGCAGAAGAAGCACCGGCUAACUACGUG
This 465-nucleotide ribosomal RNA is filed under the name uncultured bacterium. RNAcentral describes it as "partial 16S ribosomal RNA". It matches the Rfam family "Bacterial small subunit ribosomal RNA", at positions 28 to 507 of the family's 1533-position model. The record is from RNAcentral.